GAAUCAGGUACUCCGACCCAGCAUACGCAGCAGGCGGGACCCUCUAAGGGUCAAGCUGUGUGGGACUACUUCCAGUAGCGACUGAGCUUUGCAGUUGAGCCGGACCGGGUGCAUCUUGGAGUUGGAGUCUUUGUAGAGACUCUUGGUACCUUUUCCUUUCAGUUGACGAUUUUUCUGUUGUAUUUUGAAUUCUGUAGAUAUGCUCUGUAUCGCCCACUGAGGGUUUAAAUUUUGUAAGGCCUGGAGGCCUUGUUUGUAAAUUAUUGUACUGCCUGUAAAGCAUGCUGCCGGUUGGUUGUUUUUAACUGUAAACUUUGAGCAGGUUGAAUUGGGAAA
This is a non-coding RNA of Prunus mume (Japanese apricot), 336 nucleotides long. Lineage: Eukaryota; Viridiplantae; Streptophyta; Magnoliopsida; Rosales; Rosaceae. The record is from RefSeq and is a predicted model, not a curated record.